UAACUUAGUGGCGAACGGGUGAGUAACGCGUGAGUAACCUGCCCUGGAGUGGGGGACAACAGUUGGAAACGACUGCUAAUACCGCAUAAGCCCACGGCCCGGCAUCGGGCUGAGGGAAAAGGAUUUAUUCGCUUCAGGAUGGACUCGCGUCCAAUUAGCUAGUUGGUGAGGUAACGGUCCACCAAGGCGACGAUUGGUAGCCGGACUGAGAGGUUGAACGGCCACAUUGGGACUGAGACACGGCCCAGACUCCUACGGGAGGCAGCAGUGGGGGAUAUUGCACAAUGGGGGAAACCCUGAUGCAGCGACGCCGCGUGGAGGAAGAAGGUUUUCGGAUUGUAAACUCCUGUCGUUAGGGACGAUAAUGACGGUACCUAACAAGAAAGCACCGGCUAACUACGUGCCAGCAGCCGCGGUAAAACGUAGGGUGCAAGCGUUGUCCGGAAUUACUGGGUGUAAAGGGAGCGCAGGCGGACCGGCAAGUUGGAAGUGAAAUCCAUGGGCUCAACCCGUGAAUUGCUUUCAAAACUGCUGGCCUUGAGUAGUGCAGAGGUAGGUGGAAUUCCCGGUGUAGCGGUGGAAUGCGUAGAUAUCGGGAGGAACACCAGUGGCGAAGGCGACCUACUGGGCACCAACUGACGCUGAGGCUCGAAAGCAUGGGUAGCAAACAGGAUUAGAUACCCUGGUAGUCCAUGCCGUAAACGAUGAUUACUAGGUGUUGGAGGAUUGACCCCUUCAGUGCCGCAGUUAACACAAUAAGUAAUCCACCUGGGGAGUACGACCGCAAGGUUGAAACUCAAAGGAAUUGAUGGGGGCCCGCACAAGCAGUGGAGUAUGUGGUUUAAUUCGAAGCAACGCGAAGAACCUUACCAGGUCUUGACAUCCGAUGCAUAGUGCAGAGAUGCAUGAAGUCCUUCGGGACAUCGAGACAGGUGGUGCAUGGUUGUCGUCAGCUCGUGUCGUGAGAUGUUGGGUUAAGUCCCGCAACGAGCGCAACCCUUAUUGCCAGUUACUACGCAAGAGGACUCUGGCGAGACUGCCGUUGACAAAACGGAGGAAGGUGGGGAUGACGUCAAAUCAUCAUGCCCUUUAUGACCUGGGCUACACACGUACUACAAUGGCGUUUAACAAAGAGAAGCAAGACCGCGAGGUGGAGCAAAACUCAAAAACAACGUCUCAGUUCAGAUUGCAGGCUGCAACUCGCCUGCAUGAAGUCGGAAUUGCUAGUAAUCGCAGAUCAGAAUGCUGCGGUGAAUACGUUCCCGGGCCUUGCACACACCGCCCGUCA
RNAcentral lists this ribosomal RNA (1288 nucleotides) under uncultured bacterium. RNAcentral describes it as "bacterial SSU rRNA". It matches the Rfam family "Bacterial small subunit ribosomal RNA", at positions 88 to 1399 of the family's 1533-position model. The record is from RNAcentral.